CAAUAAUGAGCAUGGGGGUUUCAGCCU
RNAcentral lists this non-coding RNA (27 nucleotides) under Rattus norvegicus (Norway rat). The record is from RNAcentral. Lineage: Eukaryota; Metazoa; Chordata; Mammalia; Rodentia; Muridae.